RNAcentral lists this ribosomal RNA (253 nucleotides) under uncultured bacterium. RNAcentral's name for it is "partial 16S ribosomal RNA". It matches the Rfam family "Bacterial small subunit ribosomal RNA", at positions 524 to 776 of the family's 1533-position model. The record is from RNAcentral.
UACGUAGGGUGCAAGCGUUGUCCGGAAUUAUUGGGCGUAAAGAGCUCGUAGGCGGUCUGUCGCGUCGGCUGUGAAAACCCGGGGCUCAACCCCGGGCCUGCAGUCGAUACGGGCAGACUAGAGUGCGGUAGGGGAGACUGGAAUUCCUGGUGUAGCGGUGAAAUGCGCAGAUAUCAGGAGGAACACCGGUGGCGAAGGCAGAUCUCUGGGCCGUAACUGACGCUGAGGAGCGAAAGCAUGGGGAGCGAACAGG